This 441-nucleotide ribosomal RNA is filed under the name uncultured bacterium. RNAcentral's name for it is "partial 16S ribosomal RNA". It matches the Rfam family "Bacterial small subunit ribosomal RNA", at positions 338 to 795 of the family's 1533-position model. The record is from RNAcentral.
CCUACGGGUGGCAGCAGUGGGGAAUAUUGGGCAAUGGGCGCAAGCCUGACCCAGCAACGCCGCGUGAAGGAAGAAGGCUUUCGGGUUGUAAACUUCUUUUGACAGGGAAGAGCAGACGACCGUACCUGUGGAAUAAGCCACGGCUAACUACGUGCCAGCAGCCGCGUUAAUACGUAGGUGGCAAGCGUUGGCCGGAUUUACUGGGUUUAAAGGGUGCGUAGGCGGGUUGGAAAGUCAGCGGUAAAAUCGAGAGGCUCAACCUCAUUCCGCCGUUGAAACUGUCGGUCUUGAGUGGGCGAGAAGUAUGCGGAAUGCGUGGUGUAGCGGUGAAAUGCUUAGAGAUCAUACAGAACACCGAUUGCGAAGGCAGCUUACCAAGCUACGUCUGACGUUGAGGCACGAAAGCGUGGGGAGCAAACAGGAUUAGAUACCCUUGUAGUC